RNAcentral lists this long non-coding RNA (263 nucleotides) under Pogona vitticeps (central bearded dragon). RNAcentral describes it as "lncRNA (ENSPVIG00000009233.1)". The record is from RNAcentral. Lineage: Eukaryota; Metazoa; Chordata; Lepidosauria; Squamata; Agamidae.
AGACCAUCUGUUCAGAUGGACGAGCUUCUGAAUGCAGCCCUUACAGGGACAGAAGCAGGGCAGUCAGCGGCUGGAUCAGCCAGCCUGCAGAGCGGUACUUUCCCCCAGUGGAAUCCUUCAGGAAAGCGAAGGUUAUGGGACAAGAACUGGCUUGUCAUUCAAGGAAGACAUUUUUCAAUCUGGCAAAGGAAAAAAGAAAGUUUGAAGCUGUAACUGCAAAGCUUAUCCGGAGGGCACAAAGAUCUGUGACUGUUUAAAAAGAA